Molecule: long non-coding RNA, 890 nt
Organism: Alligator sinensis (Chinese alligator)
Lineage: Eukaryota; Metazoa; Chordata; Crocodylia; Alligatoridae
Exons: 4
Source: RefSeq, a predicted model, not a curated record
GCCAGAGAAGAAGGAGCUCUUGGUCAUGGAAGAGAGGAGAAGCCUGAGGCAGGAGCAACGUCUGAGACUGCUGCAGGAUGAAGAACCUCUGGGGCAACAGAUGCACAGAAGAUGAAGUGAAGUGACUCCUUCAAGCUCCCUCAGGAAGUCAGCGGCAGUUAAAUAAAGCAGCAAGUUCCCUGCUACUGCUCUGAGACUGGUUUGAACUGAGUGUUCCAUUUUAAAAGAAAUUUAGUGCGAAGGAGGAAAGAGUUUAUGAGCAUCACACCCAGCCCACAUAAAGGAUGAGCAGCCAACACAGGAGAAUAGGACUUAGAGGAAAAGAGGAAAAUCAACUGGAACACGUGCUCUGCAGAGACCUCGCUGCAGAUGGUACAUCUGUCUAUUGUUGUCACAGCAUUAUAUUGAUAAUCCAAGUGCUGGUGUGUAUGCGUAGAGACAUAAAAAUCCUGUAAUAGCUAGGACAGCCCACAUUUCUGUGCCAUUGAAACUCCAAGUGAUAUGACGCAUGGUUCUCACCAGGGGUUGGAAGGAAAGAGCUGUCAAAGGUCAAUGGAACUGUACAGAUAGAUGAGAUGUGUAUAGAAAGAAAGUAUGAUUCAUGUUGGAUCCUCUUGAUUCAUUUAUUCACAUCCUUAAGAACUGAAUCAUUUGUAUUAAAAGCAACAACUUCCAGAGGAGUAUCAUUAGGAAACAAAGACUUAAUGAUAUCUUCUCUAAGACUUUAUCAAAACAGAACUCUACUGUACAGUGAAUCAGCUAACCAGCCAAGAAUAUAUAUCAUGAACAUUAUUCCUAAGCACCUGCUCUGAAGAGGAGCUAUCAUUCUACUUUCAAGGGAAGAUAAACCAAAGACAGCAAUAACUAACAAAAACAGAAAAUCUUUUCCA